UGAGGGAAAACAACGAAAAGAAAUAUAGAUAUGGCAAUCUCAUCAGAGAUAGGUUGAAGUUGGAGGGUUUUGUGUCACAGAGUUAACCCAGCAAUACCAAACACGCCCAUGUUCCUCCAAAUCAACCGAACAUCAAAACUACACCUCUUCUUCUCAAGAGGAUUUAGUGUACGUGGGAAAACUAGUGGCGGGUUCUUUUGCGGGUGGGGCUGCAAUCAAAUAUGGCAGUGCUCUAUUCCCUGAGAUAACUACUCCCAACCUUGUGGUGGCUCUACUUCUCAUUCUAACUCCUGUGCUUGUCGCUGUUUUUCUUUUGAUCAAGGAAAGUCGUACAAACCCAUAGCAGCAACUUUAUUUAUCAUUUAUCAAUAUCAAAUUUGUGUGAUGCACUUGCUUGUACUGUGUCUGCAUGAUUUCUCAGAAUCCAACUGUAAUAAUACUAAAAUAAAAAUGGUUUUAAUAAUUAAUUUAUUCUUAAUGGUUU
Molecule: long non-coding RNA, 484 nt
Organism: Glycine soja
Lineage: Eukaryota; Viridiplantae; Streptophyta; Magnoliopsida; Fabales; Fabaceae
Exons: 2
Source: RefSeq, a predicted model, not a curated record